Molecule: ribosomal RNA, 501 nt
Filed under: Merlinius joctus
Lineage: Eukaryota; Metazoa; Nematoda; Chromadorea; Rhabditida; Merliniidae
Description: SSU rRNA
Rfam family: Eukaryotic small subunit ribosomal RNA
Source: RNAcentral
CGCGAAUAGCUCAUUACAACAGCUAUAAUUUACUUGAUCUUGACUUCCUACUUGGAUAACUGUGGUAAUUCUAGAGCUAAUACAUGCACCAAAGCUCCGACCUUACGGGAAGAGCGCAUUUAUUCGAACAAAACCAGGCGGCUUCGGCCGUCCGCAGUUGACUCAGAAUAACUAAGCUGAUCGCAUGGUCUUGAACCGGCGACGUGUCUUUCAAGUAUCUGCCUUAUCAACUUUCGAUGGUUGUGUAUCUGACUACCAUGGUGGUGACGGGUAACGGAGGAUAAGGGUUCGACUCCGGAGAAGGGGCCUGAGAAAUGGCCACUACGUCUAAGGAUGGCAGCAGGCGCGCAAAUUACCCACUCUCAGAAUGAGGAGGUAGUGACGAGAAAUAACGAGACCGUUCUCUACGAGGCCGGUCAUCGGAAUGGGUACAAUUUAAACCCUUUAACGAGUAUCUAUGAGAGGGCAAGUCUGGUGCCAGCAGCCGCGGUAAUUCCAGCU